Megalopta genalis is the source of this 1531-nucleotide non-coding RNA. NCBI's taxonomy places the organism in Eukaryota, Metazoa, Arthropoda, Insecta, Hymenoptera, Halictidae. The record is from RefSeq and is a predicted model, not a curated record.
GACUUUGUUUACGAGUUAUUAACGAAAAACACUAACCAAUGAGAGGUGACGGCGCGAAGUUCAAGAGCCCGCAGCACAAGGCUUUCAGCGAAACGAGCGGAGGGAUUGUAGGAAUUUUCAAUCUGAGAUCAUCAACGGUGCAUGCAUACGAAAGACCCUGGGUGUAGUUUGACGACCAUGAAAGCCACGUUAUGUGCGGGUCGAUCCUGUUAGUGCACAGAUAUAAAUCCGGCGUGGCGUUUGUGAUGAAGGGAUCGUUCAGGCCCACGAAGGCUGUGCCUUUCCUGCUGGGCCGAUGAUAGAUGAUCUUCCAAAAGAAUUUCGGCACUAACAACGGCUUCGAGUGUCGGUAUGUUAUCGUUAUCACUCGCUGAUUGCCGUGGAUAUCAGCCAUCAUCAUUGCUCCGUGGACACCAGUGUAGACUUCCAGGUCCAAAGACUUAGCCUGCGUGAAGUUCCUGACGGAUGAUUCCAGGACUUCCCAAUUUUUCGAAUUGAAGGUGCUCCAUUGUGGAGCUGCGUUUAGGUAUUGAAAGGUACAGUUCUGCUGACUGCCGUAGACAAAGUCAGCUUUGGCAGUCAGGUGUCCUCGUGAGAGGAACAGUUGCUUGUUCACGCGUUUAGCUGCUGGCGCAUUAGGGCCCAGAAGAUUUUGGAUUACUGUGCGCUGGGUCUCCCAGUAGUAGAGUCGAUCCACAUCCAUUCCAUUGAAGUGGUUCUCUGCUCGCCAUGUUGGUCUGAAAUCAGAAUGGCAUUGUAAUUGCUACAUGAUAAAGUUGAUCAUGGUAACAGUCUAGUUGCAGAUAAUUUCUUUCAACUUUUGCUGCAAAAUCUUGUGUGAGUUUGCUAAGAUUUCUUGUUAAUUGCGAAUAGUCUUUGUAAUCUGUUUCCAAAUUUGCUCAAUCUAUGUGGAAAUAAAUACAGCGAUCCAUCUUGCGAAAUCGUUUUCUUUGCAAACAAUAAGAUCAGUCCAAGCUUCUGUCAAUGUAAGAUUGAUUGCGCUAUCAACUCGUGCUUUAAAAUAGAUUUAUUGAGGUUUGUAAGCGAAUCGAAAAAAUUGACAUUCCUGAAUUAUUGGAUAAUAGAAUCAAGACUGAAGGGCUAAAGGUCAUUGUAGUGUUUUUAUGUUCAAUACGACAAAAUUUAACUUUUAAGAUGAAUGAAAAAUUGUGUCAAUCACAAUGACGAGGAACAUUGUAUCAAUGCAUCGACAGUGUCUUCAAAAUAAGAUAAAUGAUAAAAGAUAAACGAAUUGUGUUAUCAAAAAGAUUCUCACAUACUGAUAAACAUCUUGUGCAUACUUUCUUAAUGGACUGACAACUGUGAUAAGGAACCGAUCUUCCCGUUUGUCAACAACAUAUCAAUGAUGAAAUCUCAAAUCCAAUACGAUUUGUUUUUCUAUAUGUCAAUUAUUACAUUGACCAUUGUCUAUUCGUUAUCUAGCUUAAAUAGAUUAAAUUUUUUAAUUAGCCAUAAUCUGUAGUUCACUGGACAUUGAUAUUGAACAUGACUGAUAGUCUUCAGCAACUAA